Long non-coding RNA from Oncorhynchus tshawytscha (Chinook salmon), 1441 nucleotides. The record is from Ensembl. NCBI's taxonomy places the organism in Eukaryota, Metazoa, Chordata, Actinopteri, Salmoniformes, Salmonidae.
CGACACGCCAUCAAACAACACAUCCCCUCCGCCAUCUUCUAGCCUUCCUGAGUCUGCCUCCUCUCCGUCUUUCUCCCAAUGAAUGGCUUGAUGUCUCCAUGUCUCUGUGGACGCAAGGCCGAACACGCAUCGCACACUGCAUGCCUCUUUCCCUCCAGACAAAAAAAAAGGUUUCAAAUUCUCGCUGAAGUUUCUAGCCACAAGCAUAAACUACCUAGCUGGCUUUUUCGAUGAUAUCAUGGGGGUCUGCAAACAAACGUUUAAGGUGCAUUCUGCCACCUGUGCAGGAGUGUGAGAUCAUUUAUGGUCUGCAUAUUUUUUUUCUGUAAAAUAAUUAUUUAAAUCAACAAAUCCCUACUAACUUCUACCACACCCUCCCGCCAAAACUCUCCCCAGCCCUCCAACCCCAUUAAACUGCAUCUAUAUCAUGCUGAAACAGUCCACCCUUAGGAUUGUCAACAUAUGUUACCCAUAAAAACUUUGAAUAUAGAAGGUUGUGUAGGAACUAGAAUAUUUCAGUGAUAUUUCUGCUGUGUGUGGCUUUGACAGAUCCCAUGGGAUGAUAAACAUGUUCUUUGCCAUGUUAUAGCCCUAUUCGGACAGGCGUUUCUAGAGACGUUAUUUUUGUAAUUAUUAACCAAGCAUGUGUGUUAUUCCAGAGGAAGAUUCACACAAGAUUUGUUUUUCCAAAUUGCCCCCGUUUUAUUGACUCUUAUGACAGAAGCCCGAUGCAUGGUUCUGACUGUCUGCCUGUGCCCCUCCCAUAUCUCUCUCUCUCCCUCGCUAGCUCGCUCUUUAUUUGCUGUGAAAGAUGCUACAGUUUUUGUUCUCGAAGUAAUAGACUACGGAAAAUAGUUUCCUCCGAUGCAAAAAUACAGAAUCUUACCCAGAAAUGGGAAUCGACUCCCACCACUAAGCACUAGAUCUGUGCUGUGAAAACGAAAGGUUUCGUGUCCGUUUCAAAUAUAUUACUACAGGAAAAUACCGAAGAACAAUUAAAACUGUGUUUGGACCGACCUGGCUAGGCCUCUGAGGAAUUUAUGAGGGCACAGGGAAUACUUCUCAAGGUUUCCCUUAUCUCGGGGGAAUGGAACUGUCGGCUGGGUAGUGAUACACAGUGGUGAGAACUACGGAGAAGGAUAAAACUCACCUACUGUUUGUGUGGAAGUAUGUGCGUAGGAUACCUACUGUUUGUGUGGAAGUAUGUGCAAUAAAAUGGAUGUCUUGGUAUAAUGGACUUCAGAACGUUCUCUGAAUAAACUGUACCAUAUUUUUGCAUAAACUGGGUCUUUGACUAAUUAUUAUUAAACCCAAGGUCUUACAGAUCUCGGGGAUUGGUCAGAGUUAUUGAUUGUCAGUUAUUAUCAUUGGAAUUGAAAAUUCUCGUGACAGUUUGUAAAAUGGCGACGUCCACUCUGAGUCAACGGACUUCAGUGCAGGC